GUGAUCACAGAACUUUCCAGAGAUGGAUUGGUGCUUCGGGAACUGUGAGACAGGUGCUGCAUGGCUGUCGUCAGCUCGUGUUGUGAAAUGUUGGGUUAAGUCCCGCAACGAGCGCAACCCUUAUCCUUUGUUGCCAGCGGUCCGGCCGGGAACUCAAAGGAGACUGCCAGUGAUAAACUGGAGGAAGGUGGGGAUGACGUCAGUCAUCAUGGCCCUUACGACCAGGGCUACACACGUGCUACAAUGGCGCAUACAAAGAGAAGCGACCUCGCGAGAGCAAGCGGACCUCAUAAAGUGCGUCGUAGUCCGGAUUGGAGUCUGCAACUCGACUCCAUGAAGUCGGAAUCGCUAGUAAUCGUGGAUCAGAAUGCCACGGUGAAUACGUUUCCGGGCCUUGUACA
RNAcentral lists this ribosomal RNA (401 nucleotides) under uncultured bacterium. RNAcentral's name for it is "bacterial SSU rRNA". It matches the Rfam family "Bacterial small subunit ribosomal RNA", at positions 984 to 1387 of the family's 1533-position model. The record is from RNAcentral.